CCAGACUCCUACGGGAGGCAGCAGUGAGGAAUAUUGGUCAAUGGUCGGGAGACUGAACCAGCCAAGCCGCGUGAGGGAUGAAGGUACAGAGUAUCGUAAACCUCUUUUGUCAGGGAACAAAGGCGGGGACGCGUCCCCGGAUGAGUGUACCUGAAGAAAAAGCAUCGGCUAACUCCGUGCCAGCAGCCGCGGUAAUACGGGGGAUGCAAGCGUUAUCCGGAUUUAUUGGGUUUAAAGGGUGCGUAGGCUGUGAGGUAAGUCAGCGGUGAAAUGCCCCCGCUCAACGGGGUGAAGUGCCAUUGAUACUGCCUUGCUGGAAUGCGGAUGCCGUGGGAGGAAUGUGUGGUGUAGCGGUGAAAUGCAUAGAUAUCACGCAGAACCCCGAUUGCGAAGGCAGCGUACCGGCGCCCGACUGACGCUGAAGCACGAAAGCGUGGGUAUCGAACAGGAUUAGAUACCCUGGUAC
This 466-nucleotide ribosomal RNA is filed under the name uncultured bacterium. Its description in RNAcentral is "bacterial SSU rRNA". It matches the Rfam family "Bacterial small subunit ribosomal RNA", at positions 331 to 793 of the family's 1533-position model. The record is from RNAcentral.